RNAcentral lists this microRNA precursor (124 nucleotides) under Brassica oleracea var. oleracea. RNAcentral's name for it is "MIR9563 microRNA precursor family". It matches the Rfam family "MIR9563 microRNA precursor family". Lineage: Eukaryota; Viridiplantae; Streptophyta; Magnoliopsida; Brassicales; Brassicaceae. The record is from Rfam by way of RNAcentral.
UGAAUAUAAGAACUCGUCUCUUAACUUUUAACUAAAAAAGUUAAGAACCGACUCUUAAAACUCUUAUUUAAGAACCGGUUUUUAGUUUUUUAAUUAAAAGUUAAGAGACGGGUUCUUAUAUUCC